Molecule: transfer RNA, 72 nt
Filed under: Paramesorhizobium salinisoli
Lineage: Bacteria; Pseudomonadati; Pseudomonadota; Alphaproteobacteria; Hyphomicrobiales; Phyllobacteriaceae
Description: Phyllobacterium salinisoli tRNA-Cys
Rfam family: tRNA
About the family: Transfer RNA (tRNA) molecules are approximately 80 nucleotides in length.
Source: RNAcentral
GGCCGGGUGGCGGAAUGGUGACGCAGCGGACUGCAAAUCCGUUUGGUCUGGUCAAUUCCAGGUCCUCCAACA